Molecule: unclassified non-coding RNA, 350 nt
Filed under: soil metagenome
Description: partial contains 5.8S ribosomal RNA, internal transcribed spacer 2, and large subunit ribosomal RNA
Rfam family: 5.8S ribosomal RNA (bases 1-120)
Source: RNAcentral
GAUGAAGAACGCAGUGAAAUGCGAUAAGUAGUGUGAAUUGCAGAAUUCAGUGAAUCAUCGAAUCUUUGAACGCACAUUGCGCCCUCUGGUAUUCCGGGGGGCAUGCCUGUUCGAGCGUCAUUGCAACCCCUCAAGCACAGCUUGUGUGUUGGGCUCUCGUCCCCCGUGGACGGGCCUGAAAUGCAGUGGCAGCACCGAGAUACCGGUGUCUGAGUGUAUGGGCAUUGAUCAUCACUCGAUAGACCCGAUCGGCGCUGACCGUCAAACCACGAUUCCUCGGAAUCAUCCAGUUUUGACCUCGGAUCAGGUAGGAAUACCCGCUGAACUUAAGCAUAUCAAUAAGCGGAGGA